CUACGGGAUGCAGCAGUGAGGAAUAUUGGUCAAUGGGCGAAAGCCUGAACCAGCCAUCCCGCGUGUAGGAUGACAGCCCUAUGGGUUGUAAACUACUUUUAUACUCCACGAAACCUACGCUCGUGAGCGUAGCUGACGGUAGAGUAAGAAUAAGCAUCGGCUAACUCCGUGCCAGCAGCCGCGGUAAUACGGAGGAUGCAGGCGUUAUCCGGAUUUAUUGGGUUUAAAGGGUGCGUAGGCGGAAUUAUAAGUCAGUGGUGAAAUCCUACAGCUUAACUGUAGAACUGCCAUUGAUACUGUAAUUCUUGAGUAUAUUUGAGGUAGGCGGAACGUGUCAUGUAGCGGUGAAAUGCUUAGAUAUGACACAGAACACCGAUUGCGUAGGCGGCUUACUAAAUUAUUACUGACGCUGAGGCACGAAAGCGUGGGGAGCGAACAGGAUUAGAUACCCCUGUAGUC
Molecule: ribosomal RNA, 459 nt
Filed under: uncultured bacterium
Lineage: Bacteria
Description: partial 16S ribosomal RNA
Rfam family: Bacterial small subunit ribosomal RNA
Source: RNAcentral